Non-coding RNA from Xenopus tropicalis (tropical clawed frog), 38 nucleotides. The record is from Rfam. Lineage: Eukaryota; Metazoa; Chordata; Amphibia; Anura; Pipidae.
GCUAGGCUUGGGCGUAAGUACAGAGUAGCCUUUGCCUU